ACGGAGGGUGCAAGCGUUAUCCGGAUUUAUUGGGUUUAAAGGGUCCGUAGGCGGAUCCGUAAGUCAGUGGUGAAAUCUCAUAGCUUAACUAUGAAACUGCCAUUGAUACUGCGGGUCUUGAGUGAGAUUGAGGUAGCUGGAAUAAGUAGUGUAGCGGUGAAAUGCAUAGAUAUUACUUAGAACACCAAUUGCGAAGGCAGGUUACCAAGUCUUAACUGACGCUGAUGGACGAAAGCGUGGGGAGCGAACAGG
This 252-nucleotide ribosomal RNA is filed under the name uncultured bacterium. RNAcentral describes it as "partial 16S ribosomal RNA". It matches the Rfam family "Bacterial small subunit ribosomal RNA", at positions 525 to 776 of the family's 1533-position model. The record is from RNAcentral.